Molecule: transfer RNA, 72 nt
Filed under: Perca fluviatilis (European perch)
Lineage: Eukaryota; Metazoa; Chordata; Actinopteri; Perciformes; Percidae
Rfam family: tRNA
About the family: Transfer RNA (tRNA) molecules are approximately 80 nucleotides in length. Their secondary structure includes four short double-helical elements and three loops (D, anti-codon, and T loops). Further hydrogen bonds mediate the characteristic L-shaped molecular structure. tRNAs have two regions of fundamental functional importance: the anti-codon, which is responsible for specific mRNA codon recognition, and the 3' end, to which the tRNAs corresponding amino acid is attached (by aminoacyl-tRNA synthetases). tRNAs cope with the degeneracy of the genetic code in two manners: having more than one tRNA (with a specific anti-codon) for a particular amino acid; and 'wobble' base-pairing, i.e. permitting non-standard base-pairing at the 3rd anti-codon position.
Source: Rfam by way of RNAcentral
GACUCUGUGGCGCAACGGUAGCGCGUCUGACUCCAGAUCAGAAGGUUGCGUGUUCAAAUCACGCCAGGGUCG